RNAcentral lists this ribosomal RNA (305 nucleotides) under uncultured bacterium. Its description in RNAcentral is "bacterial SSU rRNA". It matches the Rfam family "Bacterial small subunit ribosomal RNA", at positions 28 to 334 of the family's 1533-position model. The record is from RNAcentral.
GAUGAACGCUAGCGGCAGGCUUAACACAUGCAAGUCGAACGGUAACAGGCCUUCGGAUGCUGACGAGUGGCGCACGGGUGCGUAACGCGUAUACAACCUGCCUUGAACAAAGGGAUAGCCCAUGGAAACGUGGAUUAAUACCUUAUAAUAUAUGACUGUGGCAUCACAGACAUAUCAAAGAUUUAUCGGUUCAAGAGGGGUAUGCGUGACAUUAGCUAGUUGGUGAGGUAACGGCCCACCAAGGCUACGAUGUCUAGGGGUUCUGAGAGGAUGAUCCCCCACACUGGUACUGAGACACGGACCAG